UUUCCCCACUCCUUGCUUUAAUACUUAUUUUAACGUCGUAUUAAAGCCAGAGUUUGGAAAGU
RNAcentral lists this microRNA precursor (62 nucleotides) under Drosophila yakuba. Its description in RNAcentral is "microRNA dya-mir-991 precursor". Its record names the gene dya-mir-991. Lineage: Eukaryota; Metazoa; Arthropoda; Insecta; Diptera; Drosophilidae. The record is from miRBase by way of RNAcentral.